This 722-nucleotide long non-coding RNA is filed under the name Capsicum annuum. RNAcentral describes it as "long non-coding RNA (CANN_LNC015975)". The record is from RNAcentral. Lineage: Eukaryota; Viridiplantae; Streptophyta; Magnoliopsida; Solanales; Solanaceae.
AAUAUUGGUAAUUAGUUGAAUGUAAACUGCUUUCAUCAACUAUGAAUUCGGCACUACACUAUACAUACAUAGUCAUAUCCCUCAACGCCAUGCCAAUGAAAGUUUAAUGAAGAAAUUUGCAACAUUUUUUUGACCCAGAUAUACCUUUGCUCCUAUAAACAUAAUACAAAAUGGUUGACUAAUCAAUGUAAAGAUGUAUAGAUAUGAAAUAUGAAAAUUUCAAUAAAUUUUAAUACUCACAAAACACACACAUCAAAAAAUAUAAAGAUAUGAAAUAUGAAAUUUUCAACAAAUCUUAAUACUUACAAAACAUACGCAUCAAAAUAUUUUUUAAAAAAAAACCUAUGCCAACUGCUUUACUCAAAUCAACAAGACUAAAAUUUUUGAAAUUGUGUUAGGGUAUGGAAAAGAUUUGAACUAUAUUUUGCUGAUUAAAAUAAUAAAAUUUGCACAGGUAUGUUUAAGAAAAUAAUAUUAAUUAUGUUCAACAAAAUAAUAUGAAUUUCGAAUAGAACAAAUAAAAUAAGACAAUUAGUUGAAUAAAAUUAAAAAAGAUAUCGGUUACAUUUUAUUUUUCUCCAUGCACACAAGCAGAGGAUAUAAACCAUCAUCAUCCAUUUUAAGUUCGAUUCAAAUAAAAUACUUAUAUCAGUAUUUUUUUAAGAAGAAGAAAAACAUAAUUUUGGCGAAUUAAUUCAAAAAAAGAUCGUGAAGAAGAAGAA